ACAGGAGGACAGGUGGUGCAUGGUUGUCGUCAGCUCGUGUCGUGAGAUGUUGGUUAAGUCCCGCAACGAGCGCAACCCCUACGUUAGUUGCUAACGCGUGAAGGCGAGCACUCUAGACGAACUGCCGUUGACAAAACGGAGGAAGGUGGGAUGACGUCAAAUCAUCAUGCCCCUUAUGUUCUGGGCUACACACGUGCUACAAUGGCCGGUACAGACGGACGCAAAGCCGCGAGGUGGGAGCAAAUCCUAAAAAAGCCGGUCUCAGUUCGGAUUGCAGGCUGCAAUUCGCCUGCAUGAAGUCGGAAUCGCUAGUAAUCGCAGGUCAGCAUACUGCGGUGAAUACGUUCCCGGGCCUU
RNAcentral lists this ribosomal RNA (356 nucleotides) under uncultured Pelotomaculum sp. RNAcentral's name for it is "bacterial SSU rRNA". It matches the Rfam family "Bacterial small subunit ribosomal RNA", at positions 1026 to 1382 of the family's 1533-position model. The record is from RNAcentral. Lineage: Bacteria; Bacillati; Bacillota; Clostridia; Eubacteriales; Desulfotomaculaceae.